Molecule: ribosomal RNA, 323 nt
Filed under: uncultured eukaryote
Lineage: Eukaryota
Description: partial 18S ribosomal RNA
Rfam family: Eukaryotic small subunit ribosomal RNA
Source: RNAcentral
CCCUUAGAUGUUCUGGGCCGCACGCGUGCUACACUGAGUGGAUCAGCGGGUCAGGUUGCGCGAAAGUGUUUCCUAAUCUUGAAAUCCGCUCGUGAUGGGGAUUGACGGUUGCAAUUUUCCGUCAUGAACGAGGAAUACCUUGUAAGCGCGGGUCAUCAUCCCGCGCUGAAUACGUCCCUGCCCUUUGUACACACCGCCCGUCGCACCUACCGAUUGAAUGACUCGGUGAAAAAUUGGGACUGUGAUUGAAAUUGCUUCAUUGCGAAUUUAAUUAUGGAAACUUUCUUUAACCUAGGCAUUUAGAGGAAGGUGAAGUCGUAACA